CCUACGGGAGACUGCAGUGAGGAAUAUUGGUCAAUGGACGAGAGUCUGAACCAGCCAAGUAGCGUGAAGGAUGACUGCCCUAUGGGUUGUAAACUUCUUUUAUAAAGGAAUAAAACGAGGCACGUGUGCCUUUUUGCAUGUACUUUAUGAAUAAGGAUCGGCUAACUCCGUGCCAGCAGCCGCGGUAAUACGGAGGAUCCGAGGGUUAUCCGGAUUUAUUGGGGUUAAAGGGAGCGUAGAUGGGUUGUUAAGUCAGUUGUGAAAGUUUGCGGCUCAACCGUAAAAUUGCAAUUGAUACUGGCAGUCUUGAGUACAGUUGAGGUAGGCGGAAUUCGUGGUGUAGCGGUGAAAUGCUUAGAUAUCACGAAGAACACCGAUUGCGAAGGCAGCUUACUAAACUGUGACUGACAUUGAUGCUCGAAAGUGUGGGUAGCAAACAGGAUUAGAUACCCCAGUAGUC
RNAcentral lists this ribosomal RNA (460 nucleotides) under uncultured bacterium. RNAcentral's name for it is "partial 16S ribosomal RNA". It matches the Rfam family "Bacterial small subunit ribosomal RNA", at positions 338 to 795 of the family's 1533-position model. The record is from RNAcentral.